Haplochromis burtoni (Burton's mouthbrooder) is the source of this 148-nucleotide ribosomal RNA. It matches the Rfam family "5.8S ribosomal RNA". From Rfam's summary of the family: 5.8S ribosomal RNA (5.8S rRNA) is a component of the large subunit of the eukaryotic ribosome. It is transcribed by RNA polymerase I as part of the 45S precursor that also contains 18S and 28S rRNA. NCBI's taxonomy places the organism in Eukaryota, Metazoa, Chordata, Actinopteri, Cichliformes, Cichlidae. The record is from Ensembl.
GACUCUUAGCGGUGGAUCACUCGGCUCGUGCGUCGAUGAAGAACGCAGCUAGCUGCGAGAACUAAUGUGAAUUGCAGGACACAUUGAUCACUUCGAACGCACCUUGCGGCCCCGGGUUCAUCCCGGGGCUACGCCUGUCUGAGUGUCG